This 501-nucleotide ribosomal RNA is filed under the name uncultured Glomeromycotina. Its description in RNAcentral is "partial small subunit ribosomal RNA". It matches the Rfam family "Eukaryotic small subunit ribosomal RNA", at positions 591 to 1092 of the family's 1831-position model. The record is from RNAcentral. Lineage: Eukaryota; Fungi; Glomeromycota.
CCAAUAGCGUAUAUUAAAGUUGUUGCAGUUAAAAAGCUCGUAGUUGAAUUUCGGGAUCAAUUCGUCGGUCGUGCUUUUUGGUACGUACUGGCGUUAUUGGUUUCUCCUUUCUGACGAGCCAUGAUGUCAUUAAUUUGGUGUUAUGGGGAGUUAGGACUGUUACUUUGAAAAAAUUAGAGUGUUUAAAGCAGGCAUUAGCUUGAAUACAUUAGCAUGGAAUAAUGAAAUAGGACGUUCGAUCCUAUUUUGCUGGUUUCUAGGAUCAACGUAAUGAUUAAUAGGGAUAGUUGGGGGCAUUAGUAUUCAAUUGUCAGAGGUGAAAUUCUUGGAUUUAUUGAAGACUAACUACUGCGAAAGCAUUUGCCAAGGAUGUUUUCAUUAAUCAAGAACGAAAGUUAGGGGAUCGAAGACGAUCAGAUACCGUCGUAGUCUUAACCAUAAACUAUGCCGACUAGGGAUCGGAUGAUGUUAAUUUUUUAAUGACUCAUUCGGCGCCUUACG